This 375-nucleotide ribosomal RNA is filed under the name uncultured bacterium. RNAcentral describes it as "bacterial SSU rRNA". It matches the Rfam family "Bacterial small subunit ribosomal RNA", at positions 524 to 898 of the family's 1533-position model. The record is from RNAcentral.
UACGUAGGGGGCAAGCGUUGUCCGGAAUUAUUGGGCGUAAAGCGCGCGCAGGCGGCUAUUUAAGUCUGGUGUUUAAACCUUGGGCUCAACCUGAGGUCGCACUGGAAACUGGGUGGCUUGAGUACAGAAGAGGAAAGUGGAAUUCCACGUGUAGCGGUGAAAUGCGUAGAUAUGUGGAGGAACACCAGUGGCGAAGGCGACUUUCUGGGCUGUAACUGACGCUGAGGCGCGAAAGCGUGGGGAGCAAACAGGAUUAGAUACCCUGGUAGUCCACGCCGUAAACGAUGAGUGCUAGGUGUUAGGGGUUUCGAUACCCUUGGUGCCGAAGUUAACACAGUAAGCACUCCGCCUGGGGAGUACGGUCGCAAGACUGAA